GAUGAACGCUGGCGGCGUGCCUAAUACAUGCAAGUCGAGCGAACGGACGAGAAGCUUGCUUCUCUGAUGUUAGCGGCGGACGGGUGAGUAACACGUGGAUAACCUACCUAUAAGACUGGGAUAACUUCGGGAAACCGGAGCUAAUACCGGAUGAUAUUUUGAACCGCAUGGUUCAAAAGUGAAAGACGGUCUUGCUGUCACUUAUAGAUGGAUCCGCGCUGCAUUAGCUAGUUGGUAAGGUAACGGCUUACCAAGGCAAAGAUGCAUAGCCGACCUGAGAGGGUGAUCGGCCACACUGGAACUGAGACACGGUCCAGACUCCUACGGGAGGCAGCAGUAGGGGAUCUUCCGCAAUGGGCGAAAGCCUGACGGAGCAACGCCGCGUGAGUGAUGAAGGUCUUCGGAUCGUAAAACUCUGUUAUUAGGGAAGAACAUAUGUGUAAGUAACUGUGCACAUCUUGACGGUACCUAAUCAGAAAGCCACGGCUAACUACGUG
RNAcentral lists this ribosomal RNA (497 nucleotides) under uncultured bacterium. Its description in RNAcentral is "partial 16S ribosomal RNA". It matches the Rfam family "Bacterial small subunit ribosomal RNA", at positions 28 to 507 of the family's 1533-position model. The record is from RNAcentral.